RNAcentral lists this ribosomal RNA (459 nucleotides) under uncultured bacterium. RNAcentral's name for it is "partial 16S ribosomal RNA". It matches the Rfam family "Bacterial small subunit ribosomal RNA", at positions 338 to 795 of the family's 1533-position model. The record is from RNAcentral.
CCUACGGGAGGCAGCAGUGAGGAAUAUUGGUCAAUGGCCGGAAGGCUGAACCAGCCACGUCGCGUGGGGGACGACUGCCCUCUGGGUUGUAAAUCUCUUUUAUAGGGGAGAAAUAAAUGCUACGUGUAGCAUGAUGCCUGUCCCUUAUGAAUCAGCCUCGGCUAACUCUGUGCCAGCUGCCGGGGUAAUACGGAGGCUGAGAGCGUUAUCCGGAUUUAUUGGGGUUAAAGGGUGCGUAGGCGGUUUUUUAAGUUAGUGGUUAAACGUAGGGGCUUCACAUUGAUUUGCCAUUAAUACUGUAAGACUCGAGUACAGACGAGGUAGGCGGAAUACGUUAAGUAGCGGUGAAAUGCUUAGAGAUAAAGUAGAACUCCGAUAGCGAAGGCAGCUUACUAGACCGCGACUGACGCUGAUGCACGAGAGCGUGGGUAGCGAACAGGAUUAGAUACCCUAGUAGUC